GCAUAUCAAUAAGCGGAGGAAAAGAAACCAACAGGGAUUGCUCUAGUAACGGCGAGUGAAGCAGCAAUAGCUCAAAUUUGAAAUCUGGCGUCUUCGACGUCGAGUUGUAAUUUGUAGAGGAUGCUUCUGAGUGGCCACCGACCUAAGUUCCUUGGAACAGGACGUCAUAGAGGGUGAGAAUCCCGUAUGCGGUCGGAAAGGCGCUCUAUACGUAGCUCCUUCGACGAGUCGAGUUGUUUGGGAAUGCAGCUCUAAAUGGGAGGUAAAUUUCUUCUAAAGCUAAAUAUUGGCCAGAGACCGAUAGCGCACAAGUAGAGUGAUCGAAAGAUGAAAAGCACUUUGGAAAGAGAGUUAAAAAGCACGUGAAAUUGUUAAAAGGGAAGGGAUUGCAACCAGACUUGCUCGCGGUGUUCCGCCGGUCUUCUGACCGGUCUACUCGCCGCGUUGCAGGCCAGCAUCGUCUGGUGCCGCUGGAUAAGACUUGAGGAAUGUAGCUCCCUCGGGAGUGUUACAGCCUCUUGUGAUGCAGCGAGCGCCGGGCGAGGUCCGCGCUUCGGCUAGGAUGCUGGCGUAAUGGUCGUAAUCCCGCCCGUCUUGAAACACGGACC
RNAcentral lists this ribosomal RNA (608 nucleotides) under uncultured fungus. RNAcentral's name for it is "eukaryotic LSU rRNA". It matches the Rfam family "Eukaryotic large subunit ribosomal RNA", at positions 38 to 667 of the family's 3401-position model. The record is from RNAcentral. Lineage: Eukaryota; Fungi.